UACGUAGGUGGCAAGCGUUGUCCGGAUUUACUGGGCGUAAAGAGCGCGCAGGCGGUCGUUCAAGUCGCGUGUGAAAGCCCCCGGCUCAACUGGGGAGGGUCACGCGAUACUGAUCGACUCGAAGGCAGGAGAGGGUAGUGGAAUUCCCGGUGUAGUGGUGAAAUGCGUAGAUAUCGAGAGGAACACCAGUGGCGAAGGCGACUACCUGGCCUGUUCUUGACGCUGAGGCGCGAAAGCUAGGGGAGCAAACGGG
Molecule: ribosomal RNA, 253 nt
Filed under: uncultured bacterium
Lineage: Bacteria
Description: partial 16S ribosomal RNA
Rfam family: Bacterial small subunit ribosomal RNA
Source: RNAcentral